Non-coding RNA from Pelobates cultripes (western spadefoot toad), 851 nucleotides. Lineage: Eukaryota; Metazoa; Chordata; Amphibia; Anura; Pelobatidae. The record is from the annotation of a GenBank genome assembly.
CUAAAAGUAUAUUGAGGAAGGGUGUAGAUUUUUUAGGCUUACGACAGGCGGACGAACUUCAGCGUCCCAGAACAAGACAAACACAGAGAGGCAGGGGUCAGAGAAGACCACGACGCCAAUAAUUAAUGACUUAAGGAUAAUCAAUUUGUCCUCAGUCACAAUAACGGACAUACAAUCCCAAACUCUUUCUAAAGGCUUAUCCUUUGUGCCCACACCUCCCUUUAACAAAUUUAUGUGGACAAAGGAUUUGAAUCUAUUUGCCCGUAAAUUGGCUUUACACAAAUAUCAUACACAUAAAAAAGAAUUACGAGCAUCCAGUCUGGGGUUGACAAUUAAGGACAUGGAUUGUCUGGAGACUCUGAUUGAACUCCUUGACUCCAACAAUUCCAAGGAUAUUAACAUUCCAAUUACCCAACUUGCACCUAAGAGCCGCUUCACACCACAUUUAAAAGACUAUAAGAAUAUUGAAGUCUUCCUUGAUAUGGUAUGUGGAGAAAUUGAAAAAGUAGAACUAGGGACUCUGAACAUAGAACCCAUUGGGAAUCUCACUAGAAUAGAAAAAUUGGCACUGAAGCAACUGAAGGAGAAUGAUCAAUUGGUUAUUAAACCAUCAGACAAGGGGGGCAACAUAGUCCUUAUGGAUCACUCUAAAUAUACACAGAUGGUAAAAAACCUGUUAGAUGAUCGAGAAACCUACCAGGUAUUAAAUCAUGAUCCAACUAUGCAAUAUCUUGUUGAGAUUAAGGCUAUGUUAAGUCAAGCCCUAAUGGAAAAUCUUAUUACCAAAAACGAAUUUGAGUUUAUGCUGGUAAAACAACCAAUACUCUCAACCUUCUAUAGUUUACCUAAAG